GGGAGCCCGAUGUGGGACUCGAUCCCAGGACCCUGGGAUCAUGACCUGAGCCGAAGGCAGACGCCCAACGACUGAACCACCCAGGCGUCCCUGAAUACUUAUAUUCUAACACAGUAUUUGGAGUAACAGUAGAUGCUCAAAAAUGUGUGCGAGACAGGAAGCACGUGGUCAGAGACAGCCGCUUUGUGGGGCGCUAGCCCGCUGCAGGAUGGGGAGCAGGCUGGGGGCUGAGAGAAGAUGGUCAGAGUGGACUCCCUGGGGAGGGACCCCGUCACAUACGAAACAGUUUUCCACUGUUGGCACUGGGUAUGCUGUGCCUACUGCCUGGGAGUUGCAAUGCCCCCAAAAGCAUGAUCCUCAGAGCCUAUCUUCAGCCUCCUUCCCUGUGCUCUCUCAUCAACACUAGUUCUACGAGGGCCGUUUUACUGUCCAAGUAGAAAGCUUUCUUUCCUCAGCAGCAAGCACUUGGCAUUUGCUCCACUGGGAAACACACUGAGAUUAAUUUCUUUCACCAGGGACGUCACUUAUGCAAAAAUAUAACCAGUUGAUGUUUACACACGUAACCAGCAGAGGGAGCCUCUGUCCAUUUCUGGCUUCAGGGCCAAGGGUAGACAAGAGGGGAAACAGCAAACUAAUUAGGAGAGCUGCAAGAAUCAGAGAAGCAAGAGAUCAACGUGGACCAGAACUCAAAUAGUACUAGCUUUUCCUUAUACUGAAGCCCAGUAUUCUUGGUUUUAGGUUCUUCUUUCCAUGGGACCUACAGGUCUUCCUUAGAAGUUGAUGAUUUUACAAAAGACCCCAAAUAGCCAAAGCAAUCUUGAAAAAGAAGAACAAAGCUGGGAGGUAUCACAAACUCAGAUUUCAAGAUAUACUACAAAGCUGUAGUAAUCAAAACAGUAUGGCACUGACACAAAAGUAGACAUAUAGAUCAAUGGAACAGAAGAGAGUCUAGAAAUCAACCCAUGCUUUUAUGGUCAAUUAGUCUAUGACAAAGGGGCAAGAAUAUACAAUGGGAAAAAGACAGUCUCUUCAACAAAUGGUGUUGGGAAAACUGGACAGCUACAUGCAAAAGAAUGAAACUGGCCCUUUUCCUUACACCAUACACAAAAAUAAACUCGAAAUGGAUUAAAGACCUAAAUGCGAAGAUAUUAAACCAUAAAAUUCCUAGAACAUAAACAGUA
Molecule: long non-coding RNA, 1181 nt
Organism: Mirounga angustirostris (Northern elephant seal)
Lineage: Eukaryota; Metazoa; Chordata; Mammalia; Carnivora; Phocidae
Exons: 7
Source: RefSeq, a predicted model, not a curated record